RNAcentral lists this long non-coding RNA (4852 nucleotides) under Sus scrofa (pig). RNAcentral describes it as "lncRNA (ENSSSCG00015041323.1)". The record is from RNAcentral. Lineage: Eukaryota; Metazoa; Chordata; Mammalia; Artiodactyla; Suidae.
UUUUUUUUUUUUUUUUUUGGCUACACCUAUAGCAUACAGAAAUUCCUGGGCCAGAGAUCAAAACUGCACCACAGCUGUAACCAGAGCCACAGCAGUGACAAGGCUGGAUUUUUACCCACUGAGACACAAGGGAACUCCCACACUUUUUAAAUAUACAAAUGUUAUCAUGCUGUAAGUCUUGACUUUCCUUUUAUUUUACUAUUUUCCUACUAGGUUUUUCAGAUAAUCCAUCAAGUUCAAUUGCAUCUUACUACUGCAUACAAUUAAAAAGUAUGUAUCCACUGAAUUAUAUUAAUCCAUUCCUUUAGAAAUAAAUAGGUUGGCUUCAGUUUACCCUUAGUGCAAAAUCCCAAAAUAUUGAUGGGUCAUACAGAAAAGUCAUACAUACUGAAUUUUGAUAAAUACCUCAAGGUUGUUAAGUCAUGAUUACCAAGUAAAAAAUAUUACCAAUUAAAUCAUAAAAAUUGAAUAGUAUUUCUCUGUACCAGCAACAACCAAGCCCAACCAUUUUUCUGCAUCAUUUUUUUGGUCCAGCUCCACUAUCCCACUUACCUGUUUGAUGCCCGAUUCCUUUAGAGCCUCAAUUAUGGGUAAAAAUGAUAACAUCAUUGUUUUAAUUCAUUCAUUCCACAAAUACUUAUUGAAUACUUAACAUGCGUCAGGUGUUGUGCUCAGUGCUGGAGAUGGACAUGGUCCCUUUCCUGUAUGGUUGGACAGCUGUGUAUACAAAAAGCUACAAGGACAGAAGUGUGGACAGAAGAGGCUCAGGGGGAGCCUGUUAGGAGAGACAUCAUUCUGGAAGGGGAGCACAAGCGACAGAGAUGGAGUAGGAGAUUUACACAGGUAGUUGUAGAAGUCCCACACGGGGACCACAAAUAGAGAAGGAAACCUAGGGGGCUCUGGGAGACCACCGUAAGUUAAUAAUCACUCAAGAAAGCUAACAGAACGUCUUGGAAUGGGAAGUUCCCAUCGUGGCUCAGCGGUUAAUGAAUCCAACUAAUAACCAUGAAGACACAGGUUUGAUCCCUGGCCUUGCUCAGUGGGCUAAGGAUCCAGUGUUGCCAUAAGCUAUGGGGCUGGUCACAGAUGCAGCUCAGAUCUGGCAUUGCUGUGGCUGUGGCAUAGGCUGGCAGCUACAGCUCUGACUCAACCCCUAGCCUGGAAAUUUCCAUGUGCCAUGGAUGUGGCCCUAAAAAGACAAAAGAUAAAAAAAAAAAAAAAAUCUUGGAAUGAAGCAGGCUUGCUUAACUAUAAAACCAUUAAUAAAAGAAUGAGCUAUGCCUCAGGUCAUUAAGUGAAAGCCAAAAUGAGGUCUGCAUUCCAGUUCAGCAAGAUAAUGAUCCUUGGAUGAAGAAGAGGAAUUGAAGGGAAAGAUGACCUUCCAAAGCAGGAGAUCCUCAUUAUACAGAAGCCUGAGCUGAUUCAACAUAUUUUAGCAUAUGUGACCACCCUUCUGCUGAUUUGAAUAAGCUCCAUGACACUCCUGGUUUGACCUCAUAGAGUCAAAUACUAUUACGGGAUAGAAGGAGGAACUAGAGAUGUAAGCCUGAUGUCUACUGAAAGAAUGAGGAAGAAGCCGGGCUUUUCCCCCUCCCCACUUUCUUUGGAUGAUAAAACUGUAGCCCACCUGAUCCUCCUUGCAGAGCCUCCUUGCCUGCCCGCUUGCCUCUCUCACAAGCAUCUUCUCUUAAUAAAUCUAUUUCUUGCCUAUCACUUUGUCUCUCGAUGAAUUCCUUCCGUGCUGAGGUGCAAAGAACCUGAACUUCAGUAAUUCCAGACACUGGGUUGAGUGAUUCUAAUGAAAACAGAAAAAAACAGAACUGUGUGUUUAAGUCCCAGUCUGGGUUCUGGCUGCGUUCGAGUCCAAGGUGUUUUUGGUUUCACAAAACCAUCCCUUUCGCCCCGGCGGAUUCUAAACUCUGGUCCAAACAGCCAUGUUUGUCUAGUCCAACAUUGUGUCUCUAGUGCCUGGUUCAAGCCUUGGUAGUUUUGGCUUAAAAGAGAUGCACAACCUAACAUUUGAGAGUUAAGUUUUAUUUGGGAGAAAAUGAAGACAAUCCUGGGAGGCAGCAUCUCAAAUAACCCUGAGAAAACUGCUCCCGGAGGCAAGCGGGGAGCUAAGGAGUUUGGGGAACAAAGGGCAGGUUGUAGGAAUAAAAGGUUAGUUGCUAAUAACAGAAAACUAGAUACCUCGGUUAGGGAUUUUAGCACCUUUCUAUAUAUGGGAAGAUGCAAAGCUCUGGGCUCACUGAAAUAAUUCCUUUUUUUGGACACCCCAAGGCAAAUGGAGUUCUGGCAGCUGUAGCAACACCAGAUGUGUGAUCCACUGUGUCAGGCCAGGGAUCAAACCUGUGUCCCCAUGCUCCUAAGAUGCUGCCAAUCCAUUGUGCCAGAGCAGGAACUCCAGAAAUCAUUCCUUCAAUAUGCACCUCUGUUACCUGGGGCCUGAGUUUCCUCAGGGCUCACCCUUGGGAGUGGCUGCCGGCUGGUGGCUGCUAGGGGGCAGGUGUUCUCCGUCUCCUUUCCGAGUCCCCUCAGGGCUCACAGGCUCACCCUUGCAGGGAGCUGACAUCCUUUGUUUACUGGUAGGGCAGGCAAUGUUUUAUUUCUCAAUAGAUUGCCAAUGGUCAGUAAUUUGUGUUUAAUGAGUAGAUGAAUCUCUGAAGACAAAGAGGUGUUUCCAAGUCAGGAGAGAGAAAGAAGGGUGGGCAGAGGUCAUUUCAGGCAGAAGAAACCAUCAUUUUUAAUUUUCAACAGGCCAAUAUUCAAAUUCAAUGUAUAUAAAUAUUCUCAACAAAAUACAAGCAAAUUGAAUCCAACAACUCAUAAAAAGAAUUAGGCUCUUAAACACGGCAAAUUUUAUGUGAUCUAUAUCUCGCCACAAUAAAAAAUAGUAAAAUAUUAAAAAGAACGGUACACCAUGGGCAAAUGGGAUCCAUCCCGUUUGAACAUCAGAAAAACCAACCAAGGUGACACGCAUUCCAAAAUUCACGUGAUCAUCUCAGUAGGUGCAGGAAAAGCACUCGACAAAAUCCAAGUUCACAGACCUCCAGAUUAAGAACGCCUGUCCUGGAACGUCUCCAAACACAGGUGACAAAUACUAGAGAAGGAACACUCCAGUGCUAGAAGGUGGAUCUUGGGAGUGCAACUGGGAAAAGAACCAUGAUGUUUAAAGCGUAAGAAAGCCCUUGGGUAUUGGGGAAUCUUUGAGGAGUUCAAGCUAAUCCAAGAGCAAGGUGUUAAAUACGUGGGGAAAAGGUGAACAAUGAAGCGGAAGUCGUGACCAUGGAUCAGACUGCUGUGCCAUGUUGAAAAGAUGAGAUUUUAUCCCGAGGACAGGGGUAUCCGUGGAAAAGUUUUAACCAAGGAAGAGAAAUGAUCAAUCUGCAUUUUAGAAAGUGACAAAUCGGUAAGAGGAUGAAUUUGGGGUAGGAACCAAGACAAAUUCAAGACAGGAGAACGUUGGGGAGAGCGUUAUAUUAGGGGCUUGAUGGGAAGACACUGAGAAUCUCAACCAACUUGGCAUCAGUGGGGCUCAAGCAAUAUUAAAGGAUGACCAGUCAUGAGCCUCACAUGGGAAUGAAAAUCAAGAGGAGUCAUACAACCAAUAUUAGGCGAAUGUCUGCUCCGUGACAAGGCCAGAACUAAGGCUCCUCUUCUCAGGCAGGGUACCGUCUAGUCCAGGUUUCAGUCAAUAAACAGUAGAUGUCUGCUAAGUUCCAUGACAAAGGAGACCCCGGGAGUAGGAGAGCAACUAGCAGCGACGCCCACCUGGUCUCUGCGUGGGUAACUUCCGCCAUGAAUCAGAAUGAAAAUUGAGGCCUGAAAGAUGAAAAGAACUGUCCAGGAGAAAAGCCAUGGAAGGAAUGGAAGAUGCAGGCCUGGCCACAGCUGCACAGGUGAAGAAGCGCAUGGAACCUUGGAGUGACAGAAAGAAGUCUGCUGUGCUGAGGGCACCCGGGAGAGCUGAACUGCAGUGCCAUGUGGGCACUGCUCCUCGAGGGGCGUCCUCAAGGGCUGAGAAGCUUGGGCUUUAUCUUAGAGAAAGUGACACGCCAUCGGAAUGUCUUGAAGAAAGAAGUGACACCAUCAGAUUUGCAUUCCAGACACGUGGCUCUGCUGCUCUGAGAAAGGCUGGUUGGAAGGUCUCGGGACUGGGCUGCUGGCUGGAUGGUGAUCUGGGUGACAGAGGACAGCGGUCUGAGCAUCAUGGCCAGGAGAGAGCACAGACAUGUGAUGGGACCUUUCUGCGGCUUCAGUAGGAGCUGGUAAUCAAUUAGAUGCAGGAGAAAAGGAAAAGGACCCCAGAUGUGAGGGCCAAAAUUAGAGGAGGAACUGGGUUGUGAAUAAUGGCCAUUUCCCCUGAGCUGUAGUACGCUGGAGAGAACUCCAGUUCUGGGGUGUGUGUAUGUGUGUGUGUGUGUGUGUGUACAGGAGGGCCGAUGUAGAACAGGCACCACAGGGUUUAGCUGAAGACAGCUUGAAUUUGAGACAAUCAGGUAGCCUGAGUCAGGAGCUUAAAUCCAGCCCGGAGACAUUGAUUUUCGAGCCACUGAGACACAGACGUAGGCAGACCCAUGAGAAUGGAUGAGAACUAGAGUAGGGUGAGAAUAAAGAAGAAGGAACUGGAUUUCCCGCUGUGGUACAGCGGGUUACAGAUCCAGCAUUGCCUCUCUGGUGUCGUGGGGUUUGAUCCCCAGCCUGGCCCCAUGACUUAAGGAUCCAGCAUCGCUGCAGCUGUGGCCACUCAGACUCCAUCCUGGCCUGGGAAAUUCCACAUGCCAAGGGGGAUCCGGGGAAAUCAGCAACUACAGAAAGAUGGAGUUAGAGAGGUUGACUCAUAAAUAAACUC